UCCCUGGUGGUCUAGUGCUUAGGACUUGGCACUCUCACACCUGUGGCCCAGGUUCAGUCCCUGGUCAGGGAA
RNAcentral lists this transfer RNA (72 nucleotides) under Ovis aries (sheep). It matches the Rfam family "tRNA". From Rfam's summary of the family: Transfer RNA (tRNA) molecules are approximately 80 nucleotides in length. Their secondary structure includes four short double-helical elements and three loops (D, anti-codon, and T loops). The record is from Rfam by way of RNAcentral. Lineage: Eukaryota; Metazoa; Chordata; Mammalia; Artiodactyla; Bovidae.